Non-coding RNA from Malus domestica (apple), 1432 nucleotides. Lineage: Eukaryota; Viridiplantae; Streptophyta; Magnoliopsida; Rosales; Rosaceae. The record is from RefSeq and is a predicted model, not a curated record.
UAUUGAAAAAAAAUUAAAAUAAAAAUGAAAGUUAUCUAUUUUCUAUCUAAGUGAGUCGCAACGUAAGCGGUGCCUAGGCGGGCUAGGCAAGUGCCUAGGCGGUCUAGGCGGGUGCCUCAGUAGGUAUAGGCUCCCUUUCAUAAUUUUCAAACGCCUAGCCAUUAAUCGGGGCGGUGACCAACUGUCUAGCGCCUAGGCGGUGCUAGGCGGGGAUUUUUAGAACAUUGUUCUUACAUGACAGCAAUAGGAAACCAUGAGAGGUAUGCUCUUUUAUUAUAGUCAAACUCUCAAUCUAGAGCACACAUUCAAACAAACGAAUAACUUUAGAUUUGAGCAAGAUGCUUGGCUAACAUCUUGCACUUGACAAAAACUAUGAUUUUCUUUUUUUAUAAAUAUAUCAUAACCUUUUGAAUGUAAGGAGAGAUGAAAAAUGCUGACAUAGCAUUGCUCUAGGGUUUAUGUGAGGAAAAAGUUUGGCCAAUAACUUGAUAAUCAGGAGGACUUCGGGAACAAUGUUGUUACAGUUUGUAACUUCAGGGUUGAUUUCGCCAAUUUUUAAAUGUCAAUGACCAAACUGUUUCCCUAUGUUUUGCUUUGCUUUGUGGGAUUCAUAACGUAUAUGCAUUAUACGUACAAUUUGCAGGGACUAUAUAGACACUGGAUUAGUUUAUAUUUUACCAGAUUCAGGUGGAGAAUCUGGAGUUCCUUAUGAGACUUACUUUCCUAUGCCAACCUCAGCAAAGGAAAAGCCAUGGUAUUCCAUAGAACAAGCAAGUGUUCACAUUACGGUGACUUCAACAGAGCAUGACUGGUCCACAAAUUCUGAGCAGUGUAAGUUGAUUUAGUCCUAUUUGGUCAUGACCAUAACUACGAGCGAACUUGUGCGGUUUAUAAGAGUGAAUGCAAACGAUUGCCUCAAAAAGAUGAAAAUGGGAUCGACACAUAUGAUCAUAGCAACUGCAGUGCCCCAGUGCACGCUGUAAUUGGUAUGGCUGGCUUUACCUUGGACGGGUUCUCAAGUGGUGUUAAUAAUUAAUCCUUGGAGUUUAUCCAAGAUUUCUGAAUUUGGUUAUCUAAGAGGAUAUGCGACAAAGAAAGAGAUGAAAUUAGAGCUUGUGAAUGCAGAUACAAGAAAGGUUGAAGACAGAUUCCACAUUACAAAAUAGCAAGGUCAUCUAAUAGGAAGAUUUACGUCCAAUGUAUAGAUAAUUUGAACAGGAGAAGAGGUGAGAAGAGGAGAGUGCCGGUCAUCAUGCCCGGAGAAAGUUGUUUUGAAAUGUCACUUAGUAUUUUCAGUACAGAUUAUAAGGUUAAUGUAUUGCGAAAAAAUUACUGUAGUUUAAACAUAUAUAGAUAAUGUAGAUCUCUUCCUUUUUCAGAAUCAUUCAACAAAUCAGAGUGCUUACUUUUAUCAAAUAUUUGUUUCUUACUC